RNAcentral lists this ribosomal RNA (515 nucleotides) under Pichia kluyveri. RNAcentral describes it as "eukaryotic LSU rRNA". It matches the Rfam family "Eukaryotic large subunit ribosomal RNA", at positions 76 to 600 of the family's 3401-position model. The record is from RNAcentral. Lineage: Eukaryota; Fungi; Ascomycota; Pichiomycetes; Pichiales; Pichiaceae.
UCCCUCAGUAGCGGCGAGUGAAGCGGCAAGAGCUCAGAUUUGAAAUCUCACCUAGUGUGCGAGUUGUAAAUUGCAGGUUGGAGUCUCGGGUUAGACGUGUGUGCAAGUCCCUUGGAACAGGGUGCCACUGAGGGUGAGAGCCCCGUAUCGUGCAUGUCGACACCUGUGAGGCCCUUCUGUCGAGUCGAGUUGUUUGGGAAUGCAGCUCUAAGUGGGUGGUAAAUUCCAUCUAAGGCUAAAUAUUGGCGAGAGACCGAUAGCGAACAAGUACUGUGAAAAGGAAAGAUGAAAAGCACUUUGAAAAGAGAGUGAAACAGCACGUGAAAUUGUUGAAAGGGAAGGGUAUUGGGCUCGACAUGGGAUUUACGCAUCGUUGCCUCUCGUGGGCGGCGCUCUGGGUUUUUCCUGGGCCAGCAUCGGUUUUCGUUGCAGGAUAAGGACAAUUGGAAUGUGGCUCCUCGGAGUGUUAUAGCCUUUUGUAGAUGCUGCGUAUGGGGACCGAGGGCUGCGGCGGA